Molecule: ribosomal RNA, 587 nt
Filed under: uncultured bacterium
Lineage: Bacteria
Description: bacterial SSU rRNA
Rfam family: Bacterial small subunit ribosomal RNA
Source: RNAcentral
CCUACGGGAGGCAGCAGUGGGGAAUAUUGCACAAUGGGGGAAACCCUGAUGCAGCCAUGCCGCGUGUGUGAAGAAGGCCUUCGGGUUGUAAAGCACUUUCAGUUGUGAGGAAAGUUUAGUAGUUAAUACCUGCUAGAUGUGACGUUAGCAACAGAAGAAGCACCGGCUAACUCCGUGCCAGCAGCCGCGGUAAUACGGAGGGUGCGAGCGUUAAUCGGAAUUACUGGGCGUAAAGCGCACGCAGGCGGUCUGUUAAGCUAGAUGUGAAAGCCCCGCGCUCAACGUGGGAGGGUCAUUUAGAACUGGCAGACCAGAGUCUUGGAGAGGGGAGUGGAAUUCCAGGUGUAGCGGUGAAAUGCGUAGAGAUCUGGAGGAACAUCAAUGGCGAAGGCAACUCCCUGGCCAAAGACUGACGCUCAUGUGCGAAAGUGUGGGUAGCGAACAGGAUUAGAUACCCUGGUAGUCCACACCGUAAACGCUGUCUACCAGCUGUUUGUGAAUUUAAUUCGUGAGUAGCGAAGCUAACGCGAUAAGUAGACCGCCUGGGGAGUACGGCCGCAAGGUUAAAACUCAAAGGAAUUGACGGA